Molecule: long non-coding RNA, 1565 nt
Filed under: Coturnix japonica (Japanese quail)
Lineage: Eukaryota; Metazoa; Chordata; Aves; Galliformes; Phasianidae
Description: lncRNA (ENSCJPG00005009154.1)
Source: RNAcentral
CCUUCUCCCGUUACACCACAACACUGGCUCUGUUAUUGCCUCCUUUCCCCCAGAUCCACUGCAAAAGGAAAGAAGUCAAGGGCCAGGUAACAUGUCUCUCUGCAGGGGUCUCCUUGGGCUGGACCCUUGCAGGAGCAGAGACUAUAAGAGACUUUGCCAUCAGGCCAGGGUGUGAGACCUCAACAUCCCAGUACUCAUUUGUUGGGAUUUCCAGCAAUUCGGUGGGCACUACCUAGUUGGUGAUUUGGGUAGAAAAAGAGAAAUGCUGCAAAAGCCACGUAAUUUAGUGCGGGGUCAGUUUUAAUUUAUAUGAGAAGCUGCUGGGAUUCUUUUUCCUCAAUUCUUUGUAAUGUUCAUCCUGCAGACCUGGCUUCCCAGCUCACAAACAACUUCUGUCAACUCCCAGAUGUUGACAUGAGGCACCGAGAGGCACUCAAGCCAAAAGCUCGGAUUCCAAACAUCCCUGAACUCUGGAGAAGUUCAAAUCAGAGCACACAUCUUCAGUGGGAAGGGGAAAGCUGUAACGUGAUCCCAGCCCUGGGCAAUGGAGGGACCAGAAUUCUCAUAAUGCCUCAGCACCAGCUUGGGUUGCAGGGGAGGGUUGCACUAAGCCAGACAGAUAUCUUUGGGCAUUGGAAGUGCCAUGAGUGAGAACAGGAACAGCAGCAUCCCCACUGGAUACUGCUGGCUCUGCUUCUUCCUCUGGAGCACAAGCAGCUGCAUGUCGCUCCUCCAGCCCUCUGCCAGCCUGUGUCUCAGUCCAUCAGUUAGGCUUAUAAGCCUUAAGGCGAGACUUUAACAACAUUAGCAUGCACUAGCACAGAUGCUUUAUACACUUUAUAUCAAAAUACAGACUUCUUGAUUUACUUUUCCAGGUAAACUCCUUGGAUGUCUCGCAGAGAAACAGCCAACAACCUAGAUGGAUUUGCUGAGUGCUGUAUUAGUCCACCAGGUGUGCUGGGACCUACCAGCCUCUGCACACUCUGGGAACUGUGCUUUGUCCUGAACCUGGAGAGUACCAGGCUGCAGGUCUGGACCAUCAAAUAGGGUGGCUGCUCUCACCAAUAACAGAGGGUUGGGUUUUCAAGCCAUUGUCCAUGGCUGUAGGAGAAUGGGAUGGAACACCAAACGUGAGCACAUGAUCUGCAUUAGGGGGAGAUGCGGUGUGCUUGUGCCCCUCUCCUGAGCCAGAGGAAUGAGUUGCUGGAGGUGUCUGAGCUCCUGUCAGCAACUGUUUUUAUGGCUUUCAUGCCAUCCCACAACACCGCAGAGAGUGAAGGAUAACUUCCUGGCUCUCACUUCUUAAGUUAAUGAAUCCCACCACUAAUUAGCUGACAGUAACAUGGAGAUAUUCUUGGCCAUAGGUGGAUCUUACUGAGGUCAUAACGAUUGCGGGUAGUUUAAUUUAUUACUCUGGGAGGAGCGUUGGGAUACAGUGCAUGAAGACCACUUGGGAAGUGCCAAAGCAAUAUUACAAGUCAAGAUUUUCCCCAGUAAGGUAAUAUGUUCCAUAUUCACUGUGCCUCAGAGAAAUAAAGCUUCAAAGUAGCCCUGGCUCCCGUGCA